Molecule: ribosomal RNA, 631 nt
Filed under: uncultured Porphyromonadaceae bacterium
Lineage: Bacteria; Pseudomonadati; Bacteroidota; Bacteroidia; Bacteroidales; Porphyromonadaceae
Description: bacterial SSU rRNA
Rfam family: Bacterial small subunit ribosomal RNA
Source: RNAcentral
UGGUGGCGACCGGCGCACGGGUGAGUAACGCGUAUGCAACCCAUCUAUCAGAGGGGGAUAACCCGGCGAAAGUCGGACUAAUACCGCAUAAAACAGGGACACCGCAUGGUGAUAUUUGUUAAAGAAAUUCGCUGAUAGAUGGGCAUGCGUUCCAUUAGGUAGUUGGUGAGGUAACGGCUCACCAAGCCGACGAUGGAUAGGGGAACUGAGAGGUUGGUCCCCCACACUGGUACUGAGACACGGACCAGACUCCUACGGGAGGCAGCAGUGAGGAAUAUUGGUCAAUGGGCGAGAGCCUGAACCAGCCAAGUCGCGUGAAGGAAGAAGGAUCUAUGGUUCGUAAACUUCUUUUGCAGGGGAAUAAAGUGCAGGACGUGUCCUGUUUUGUAUGUACCCUGAGAAUAAGGAUCGGCUAACUCCGUGCCAGCAGCCGCGGUAAUACGGAGGAUCCGAGCGUUAUCCGGAUUUAUUGGGUUUAAAGGGUGCGUAGGUGGUUUGAUAAGUCAGCGGUGAAAGUUUGCAGCUUAACUGUAAAAAUGCCGUUGAAACUGUCGGACUUGAGUGUAAAUGAGGUAGGCGGAAUGCGUGGUGUAGCGGUGAAAUGCUUAGAUAUCACGAAGAACUCCGAUUG